RNAcentral lists this ribosomal RNA (325 nucleotides) under uncultured bacterium. RNAcentral's name for it is "bacterial SSU rRNA". It matches the Rfam family "Bacterial small subunit ribosomal RNA", at positions 468 to 793 of the family's 1533-position model. The record is from RNAcentral.
GUUACGUGUACCUACAGAAGAAGCACCGGCUAACUCCGUGCCAGCAGCCGCGGUAAUACGGAGGGUGCGAGCGUUAAUCGGAAUUACUGGGCGUAAAGCGCAUGCAGGCGGCCUGUUAAGUCAGAUGUGAAAGCCCGGGGCUCAACCUCGGAAUUGCAUUUGAAACUGGCAGACUAGAGUACUGUAGAGGGGGUAGAAUUUCAGGUGUAGCGGUGAAAUGCGUAGAGAUCUGAAGGAAUACCGGUGGCGAAGGCGGCCCCCUGGACAGAUACUGACACUCAGAUGCGAAAGCGUGGGGAGCAAACAGGAUUAGAUACCCUGGUAG